Molecule: ribosomal RNA, 253 nt
Filed under: uncultured bacterium
Lineage: Bacteria
Description: partial 16S ribosomal RNA
Rfam family: Bacterial small subunit ribosomal RNA
Source: RNAcentral
UACGAAGGGGGCUAGCGUUGUUCGGAAUCACUGGGCGUAAAGCGUAUGUAGGCGGCUUGUUAAGUCAGGGGUGAAAUCCCGAGGCUCAACCUCGGAACUGCCUUUGAUACUGGCUUUCUUGAGUUCGGGAGAGGUGAGUGGAACUCCUAGUGUAGAGGUGAAAUUCGUAGAUAUUAGGAAGAACACCAGUGGCGAAGGCGGCUCACUGGCCCGAAACUGACGCUGAUGUACGAAAGCGUGGGGAGCAAACAGG